Molecule: long non-coding RNA, 5212 nt
Filed under: Taeniopygia guttata (zebra finch)
Lineage: Eukaryota; Metazoa; Chordata; Aves; Passeriformes; Estrildidae
Description: lncRNA (ENSTGUG00000022945.1)
Source: RNAcentral
UUUUUUUUUUUUUUUUUUUUUUUUCACAGCCAGGGGUGGUAUUUUUAGCUCUGACACGUCCCAAGGAUCAAAUAUCCCACAGGAUCGGGGAAUUGGCAGGGGGGAACCCUUGGGAUUUACCCUGUAAGCCAAGCCUGGCCCCGGCUGCCAAGGAUGAGGUUGGAUUCCCCCGGCUGCUGCUCUGGCUGAACUUGGGGUUACCUCCAGCAUUCCCCAUCCCGAGGAAUGACUGACACAGCGGGAAAAAUGCCAGAGGUUUUCCAGCAGAAGGGGGAACAAAUGAACUUGGUGUGCAAUCCGUGGCGCUCUGGGCUGCCUGCAGCUCCCUGCCAGCUCCGCUCUCCUUCUCCUCCUCCAUUUAUUCCCUUGUCCCUCUGCUCCCAGGGAAGGUUUUACAGGAGGGUUUCUCUUCCCUUUCUCAGUCCAGGAAACCAGGAGGAAAAAAGGAGCUGGGGAAGGAAUCUAGGCCAUCCCAUUGUUGCUCUAUCUGGGGCUUAAAGCCAUCGAGCUGGGUUUGUUUGAAAGGGCCCAUUUCUGUCUCAGGCUCGCUCGUUUGAUUUUAUUUGGAUUUUCCUUUGUUCACUCAGCUGGAACAGGCGGGCGCAGAGGGAGGGGAAAGCAGAGGAUUCCAAUAAUGGGGUUUUGGCAGCACGUUGGGCAUAAAACAGCUUUAUUUGGGAUUUUGGUCCUUUUUUUUUUUUUUUGCAGCAGCAGCAGCAGAUGAAAGGAACUCGUGGAGGGGCUGGGGCAGGGGCUGGUGAUCCCCAGUCUGUGUCGUGUGAGCCGUGUCCCACCCCAAUAGCUGGGAUUUUGCUGGGAAUCCCUGUCCUUUUCUGCUGGGAAUUAUUGGAAUUCCUGUCCAUUUCUGCUGGGAAUUAUUGGGAAUCCCUGUCCUUUCUUCUGGGAAUCAUUUGGAAUCCCUGUCCUUUUCUGCUGGGAAUUAUUGGAAUCCCUGUCUUUUCCGUUGGGCAUUAUUGUGAAUCUCUGUCCUUUCUGCUGGGAUUUUGCUGGGAAUCCCUGUCCUUUUCUUCUGGGAAUUAUUGGGAAGCUGUUGGUGAUUGAUCCUUGGCUCCAACCUCAAUGCAUCCACCCCACUCCUCUGCCCGCUGCCCCCAGGGCAUCCCAAAUCCUGGGAUAAACACAACAGGGAGUUGAACCAUGAACUGGGGUGGGUUGGAGGGGAUCUGAAGGAGCGCCUAGAUCCAGUUUGGAGUCUUGUUCCUGCUGUGGGAUUUGGCUCCCAGCUGGAAGCCACCCAGACCCAACUUUUCCCUCACGGAGUUUCCUUUGAGUUUUGCUUCCUGCAAAUCCAGAUUUUGCUGGUUUGGUGCUGUUUCCCUUUUCUGCAGUCUCAGAAUGUGCUGAUGGAAAUCUCCUGUUUGGUUGUUUUAAUGAUGCCAGGAGCCCAAAACUUGCCAGAUCCCUGGGAUGGGAUUUUUGGGAUGUGUGUGCUGUGGCAGGUGGGAUCAGGGCGUGGUUUGGGUUGGGAGGGACCUUUGGGAUCAUCUCAUGCCACGGGCAGGGACACUUCCCACUAUCCCAAGUUCCAAGUUCCACCCCUCCCCUCUCCCUCCUUCCCUGACAUCCCACCCAAUUCCUCCGGGGUUCCUGGAUGGGCUUUCAGGCCCCUUCCAACCCAGCUCAUUCCGGGAUUCUGGGAAGCAAAGCUUUGCUGCCUGAUCAUCCCUAACCAGCAGCCAGGGUGGGAAUCAGAUAAACUGAGCUUAUCCUGGGCUCAGCUUGACGGGCUCGAGCCCAAAACUGUUGUGCACGUGCUGAAGAGCUCGGCUGAACAGGAACCCCUGGGAGCGAGCAGGCACCGGAAUGUUUUUGGGAGGAAUAAUCUCAAAUGUCGAGCUGAUCUCCAAAUUCCUGGUGGGAGUAAAUGUCACUGGAAUGGCUGAGCCUGUGCCAGCCGUGGGGGGAGUUUGGGAAAGGCUGGAGUCGAUUGGAGCAGCUCCAGCAGGCAGCAGAAGUGGGGGGAACUCCAGGAUCCAUGGAGAGCAGCAUUCCCGGGAUGGGGGUGGUGACAGAGCCACAGCUUGGGGUUCUCCAAUGGGUUCCUCCUUCCUUAGGUGUGAAACCACCUUUGGAAAUCUGGGAUCUUGGAACACGGAACUCUGGGGAGCUUUUGGAGGAUGUCUCUGAAGGGUGAGCUGCAGACUUUGGAGUUUCCACCCUUGGUUUUCCCAUGGGAUGAGGGGAUGGGUUUGGAGCAGCCAGGUCCCUCAGAGCGAUGUCCACACGAGGUGUGGAUGGGGAAAACGUCGGAUCUGAGGUGUAAAAUUCCCUGUGAGAGGCAGGAGUUGGGUUCCUCACAGGACAAGGGGGGAUUGUUUUAAACUCAGAGAGAGAAGACUUGGUUUGGAUAUUGGGAAGGAAUUCCUGGCUGGGAGGAUGGGGAGACCCUGGCACAGAUUCCCAGAGAAGCUGUGGCUGCCGCUGGAUCCCUGGAAGUGUCCAAGGCCAGGCUGGAUGAGGCUUGGAGCACCCUGGGAUGGUGGAAGGUGUUGGGGUUGGAACUGGACUGGCUUUAAGUCCUUCCCAACCCAAACCACCACUUUUUGGUGGGAAUUCUCUACAUGGACAUCCCUUGUCUCACCCUCGGCAGGGACAGCUCUUCCCAAAUUCCAGGAGAGUGCCGAAGGAGCCUCCUCAGCCUCUCUGCACUCUUGCUCAUGGCAGGAAACAUCCCUUGGAGUGGCAGCUCCCAAAGAAACUUCCCGGAGCAGCUCGGAGCUCCCGGCAGGGCCCGGAUCCGCCUGGAUCUGCAGCAGGAGCCGGCUCCAGCUCCGUGCUCAGAGCAGAUGGAAGGAGCAGCAUUUCCCUCCCACGCUCCUCCCCAGGAGCCCCUUUGGAGCGAUGACAUUUUUCCUUUAACCCCCUGAUAUUUUUCCGGGAUCUGAAUGAACAGCCCACACAUGAGGAUGGGGGUUUUUUUCCUCCCUUCCUAUUCUUUUCUGUCUCUCCCUGGAUUCAGGGAAGGGGCUGCUCCGAGUAUUUCAGUCAUUUGGAUAACCAGGAAAAGCCCACCUGGCAGCUCUGCUCAGGGUGAAUUCCUCAUUAACUGGAAUUCCAGGAAAAGGUGAGAGCUGAGGGGAGGUAAUUUUGGUGCUGCAGGUGUGGACAUCACCUUCCCAAACCCCCCACCAUCCUCAAGUUCUCCUUUCCCAGGGACCAUCCCCAAGGGAUGAAGGAUUCCAUUUCACCAGACUUCCCAGGGUGUAGUUUUCCAUGAAAGAGGAAUAUCCCUGGAAGUAUUUAAACUUCUACUGCUUAUCCCUCGCUCACUAAGUCCCAAAGCUCGUUAAAUCCCAAGCUUUGGAGCAAUGGUUUAAUGUCUUAAGCCUUGACCUGAUUUACCUGCUCUGUGUCCUAGGAUUAGGAAUGUUCUGGACUGGGAAGGAUCCUCUCCUCCUCCAGCUUUCCCGUGUUCCAAACAGUUCUGCAUUUGGAAGCUGGAUUGAUUUAAAGUGCAUUUGGGAGCAGCAAUUGGACUUUUCCUGAUUGGAAGGCUUUUUUCCUGUAAGCAGAUCGGGAGGGUUGGAGUCAGGCUUUAAAAGCCUUAUUCAUCCCUAAUCCCAAAUAAUUCCGUCUCCGUGGCUUUUAACGUGAUUAAAUCAGGGCAGGCUGUGACGACACCCGGCAAUUCCGCUUCCCAAAGAAUAUUGGAUUGAACCCGGAGCGAGGCUCCACGAAAAGAGGAAUUUGGUGCUUGGGUUGGGCAGUCCCGAGUUCAGCCCCCUGUUCUCCCCUGGGGUCCAGCUGCUGCAGAAUUCCAGGCUGGAAAAGCGGAGCCUUUUCCCGUGGGUUUUGCCUCAUCCCUGGAUCUAAAGCCGUCCGUGUUCCCUGUUUGUGCUGCUCUCCACAUCCCAGGAUUUCCUGGCUCUUUGUGGUUGGAUGGGAUGGAAAGUGGAGUGGGGUCACCUGGAUUGUCAUGGCCAUGGAUUUGUCUGUCACCAAAUGCCAAAUCCCUGGAAUUGCAUCCCCCUGGAACUGCAACCCCCUGGAACUGCAGCCCUCUGGAAUUGCAUCCCUCCACCGCCCUCCUGCAGGUGCUCCCCUCUGGAAAACCCCAGGAAUAAUCAGCUCCCUGUGUGAUUCUUGUGCCAAUCACUCACCCUUGUUAUAUCCCAAUUCCUUUGUGGAAUUGGGAUAUAACGAGCCAGUGGAUAAUCCAGGAAUGGAGCUUUCCAGAGGGUGCUGGGGGAUAAACCCAUGGGCAGCUCUGAGGUGCUGAGCCACAGGGAUGUGCCAGAACCCUGGGAAUACAGCAGGGAAAGGAAGUCCUCAGGAAAAAAUGGGAUUUAAUUGCUGCUCCUUGUAACAGAGUUCCCAAUAAAUCACAAUUCCCAGACAAGAAAAGCCCCAAGGCAGUAUUCCCCACUGGUGAGAGGGAAUCCUGGGAUGGGGUUUAUAUCUGCUCCAUAAAUUCACAUUGCUCUGAUACAUUCCCAAAGCUCUGCAACUCCAAAUCCCUCAUGGAUCUAAAAACAUGUCGUUUUCCAGGUCUAUUUUUCCCCAAUCCCACCAAUCCCUCAAAAAACCAAAAGAGAGGGAUUGAAUGGGGGGGGGGGGGACGACGACGACAUAUCCAAGGCUUGGGAUCAGGACUCUGAUUCCCAAAGCUCCCAGGAAGUUUGGGAAGGGAGACACCACUCCCAUCCACAUGUGUCUCAGCGUUGUCACAGCUGCACCAGCUCCCAAAAUUGAAGCCAGGGACACUUCCAGGGAUGGAUUUUUUGAACCAGGGUGUGCUCCAUGCUUUUUUCUGGAGUCUGGAAAGAGGGAGAGCAGGCUUGGAAUUCCUCAUUUCCCCCAGAUUCCUGAUCUGCCUGAUUUACCCUGUGGGGAUUUCAUUUAAGUCUGGCUUCAAACUUUCAAAUCAUUUCUUCACCCCACAGCAGCCACAUCUCCUUUGGCACCACUUUCCCCAAUAUCAAAAUAUUCCCUCUCCAUCUUGGCCUCCAUCCGAGAUUUAAUGUGCAGGGAGCACUUGUGAGGGAAAAAACUCAUAUUUUUCCUUGAUUUCUCCUUCAUUUUUAAUCCUUCAAAGGGCUGUUGAGUCCUGAUUCAAAGGAGCCUCGUGUUUCUGUGUUUUGGGGAAGAUGCAACUUUGUCGUGGCAAAACAGCUGCAAGGAGACGCGAAAACAGCAUAAAUGUGGGAACAGAAUAAAUGUGGGAACAGAAUAAAUCAGGAGCUGGAGAAAG